RNAcentral lists this ribosomal RNA (412 nucleotides) under Dolosigranulum pigrum. RNAcentral describes it as "bacterial LSU rRNA". It matches the Rfam family "Bacterial large subunit ribosomal RNA", at positions 1361 to 1785 of the family's 2925-position model. The record is from RNAcentral. Lineage: Bacteria; Bacillati; Bacillota; Bacilli; Lactobacillales; Carnobacteriaceae.
AAGGCUCGUCCUCCCAGGGUUAGUCGGGACCUAAGCUGAGGCCGAACGGCGUAGGCGAUGGUCAACAGGUUGAUAUUCCUGUACCAGUUUCUUUUGUUUGACCGAUGGAGGGACGCAGCAGGCUAAGAUAUGCCCACUGAUGGAUGUGGGUGCAAAUAAUAAGUCUGGCGAUGAGUCAAAUGCUUAUCGCUAAGGACAAGUUAUGACGCGGAGGGAAGUACAGUACCGAAGUAUCUGACGUCACACUGCCAAGAAAAGCUUCUAGGGAGAAAGCAACUGCCCGUACCGCAAACCGACACAGGUAGUCGAGAUGAGAAUUCUAAGGUGAGCGAGCGAACUCUCGUUAAGGAACUCGGCAAAAUGACCCCGUAACUUAGGGAGAAGGGGUGCUAACGCAAGUUAGCCGCAGUGA